RNAcentral lists this ribosomal RNA (392 nucleotides) under uncultured bacterium. RNAcentral's name for it is "partial 16S ribosomal RNA". It matches the Rfam family "Bacterial small subunit ribosomal RNA", at positions 523 to 918 of the family's 1533-position model. The record is from RNAcentral.
AUACGGAGGACGCGAGCGUUAUCCGGAUUUAUUGGGUUUAAAGGGAGCGUAGGCGGGAGCUUAAGUCAGCGGUUAAAUGGUGCGGCUCAACCGUGCCCUGCCGUUGAAACUGGGUUUCUUGAGAGUGCAAGAGGCGGAUGGAAUUCAUGGUGUAGCGGUGAAAUGCUUAGAUAUCAUGAAGAACUCCGAUUGCGAAGGCAGUUCGCUGGGGCACGUCUGACGCUGAUGCUCGAAGGUGCGGGAAUCAAACAGGAUUAGAUACCCUGGUAGUCCGCACGGUAAACGAUGAUUACCCGCUGUCGGCGGUAGACAGUCGGCGGCCAAGCGAAAGCGAUAAGUAAUCCACCUGGGGAGUACGCCGGCAACGGUGAAACUCAAAUGAAUUGACGGGG